GAGAGCCGGAUGAUGGGAAACUAUCACGUCCGGUUCGGUGGGCGGGAGAGGCGUGUCCUCCUCGAGGCGCGACCCUCCCGACCCAAU
This is a non-coding RNA of Sphingopyxis granuli, 87 nucleotides long. The record is from Rfam. NCBI's taxonomy places the organism in Bacteria, Pseudomonadati, Pseudomonadota, Alphaproteobacteria, Sphingomonadales, Sphingopyxidaceae.